Molecule: long non-coding RNA, 1567 nt
Organism: Mytilus trossulus (common blue mussel)
Lineage: Eukaryota; Metazoa; Mollusca; Bivalvia; Mytilida; Mytilidae
Exons: 3
Source: RefSeq, a predicted model, not a curated record
ACCAGGCAGAACUUGGAAAUUUUGUUCAACAGCCUUUUUGAGAUAAAUGUGUUUUUGUAAUGUAUCCACCUUGUUUUGUUGGGAAAUGACAUUUUAAAAAGUCACAUUGGGUUAUUAUGUAUAAAAAAAUGAAUUUGAUUUUUCAGUAAAUUUGACUGCUUAUAUAGGGAAAUAGGGGUAUCAAUUUCUCAACAAAAACAGCCUACAAUAUAACAAUUGAUAUAUAUUCUAAAAGAUGACCAUGAAUACAACAGGAAAUGAUAAUAACAUCUUUGGUAUCUGUUGAUAUGUAAAUGUUCUAAUGCAGUAAACUGUCAGGAAACAGCAGUUUAUUUUUGUCUUUUUGGUGUUUAGACAUACCAAAAGUGAUGCUCUUCAAUUUAAAAACCGAUAAAGGUUGUAACCAGCUGGUAAUGUUUUGACAGAAAAAUGAACUUCUGUUGUAUAUUUGUAUGCAUAAUUGAACAUUUUGAUAAGAUUUAAGAAAAGUACAUAACUAUGUGGUUUUGGGAAACUUAUUUCCCUCACCAGGAGAUUGGUGCAUACAUGUACGGAUCACUUCCAGACAGAGGUAGUUACAAUAUCUGUACGGGAAUGAGGAUUAUUUAUAAGACUGAAAUUAUUGUAUUAUUUGCUGGAAAUGUGGAAUAUGAGGAAUUUACAGCCAUUCGUGAGAAGUUUUUGAUGAUUCAGCUGGACAAAUGCUGGAAAUUAUACAGUUUUCUCCCACCUUAAAACAGUACAUGGUAUAUCAUGGACACCAAAAGCAAACUAUAAAGAUCUAAAUGCCAUAAUUUUGUGCAUCUUGAAAACUGGAAAGGCGGAUCGCUUUGAAGCAGAUGAUAGUGAUAGUGUUUAAAAGAAUUCUUUGCGACAGUUAUACCAGUUGGAACAGAUAAAAGAUACAUCAGAUGACAGACUUACAUACAUGUAGAGGAGCCUAUAAUUAGAGAAAUGGAUCAACUUGAUUUUGAAGUUAACCUACUGCAUUAAUAUGAAAAUUCAUAAGUGACUGAGCUUAAAGAAAAUCACACAUGAAACUGUAACCAGUUUGGGAGACUCAUACAACAGAACAUUUCAAUACCUAUUAAGUUUUUUAUGUAUAUGUUUGACUUUUGGUAAUAUUUUGGAAGUUACUUUAGUAAUUGAGAGACCUCAAUGUUGAAAAUGACAAUUUUGGUAGAGGACAAAGUUAGGAAAAUCAAUUUAGUUGUUUAUGAAUCUUUAUCUUUUAAAAUAUUACUGGGUGUCUGAAAGAAUAUUUCAAAAAUUUCUGAAACUAUUUAGAUAUUUAUCAUGUUUCAUGUGUUUAUAUAGGCAAAUAUUUAUACAUGUCAUUUAUGUUAUGCAAGGGUUUAUAUUAAUUUCUAAAAAGAUGUAUAUGUGUUGAUAAAAUAAGUUCCAAAUUAUUACAGAGUAACAGAAAAUGGGAUCAAUUUAUAUUAAAACAAAUCUGUUAAAAGGGAAUGAAAAGUCAAAAAUUGUAUUUUUUAAAAUAAUUGUGUUAACAUUUUUGUGCUAUUUAGAAAUAUGUACACAAAAAAAAUAAACUUUAAUAUAAGUAUCA